Long non-coding RNA from Xenopus laevis (African clawed frog), 3698 nucleotides. RefSeq lists it as uncharacterized. The record is from RefSeq and is a predicted model, not a curated record. Lineage: Eukaryota; Metazoa; Chordata; Amphibia; Anura; Pipidae. The transcript is spliced from 3 exons.
UAUACUCGCGUAUAAGCCGAGUUUUUCAGCACCCAAAAUGUGCUGAAAAACUCUACCUCGGCUUAUACGCGGGUCAGGCUGCAAAAGGAAAGGCUGCGCUUAGGAGCUCCUGCGUGCUCUCACUCACCCCCAUCCUGGCAAAAGUCUUCCUCUCUGACUGCUUCAGUGCGUCAUCAGGAAGCGCCUCCCGGCUUUACACUGACCCGCAGUAGAACCCUGGCACAUGCGCAGCUUUUCUUUUCUGCUGUCUGAAUCAACUGGUGCUCGGCUCCGCUCCUCCCUUGUCACAUUCCUGCAGCCUGAUCAGAUUACUCGGGCUGUGACACGGAGAAAGCAGCACGAAGAGAACGGGAGACUUGAAAAGCAGGAAGGGAGGGGGAGGGAGAUCGAGCAGACUCGUGCAGCACAAGAGAGAGAGAGAGGGAGGACUUGAGCAGCACAGCACGAAUUCCCUGGGAUUGUUUCUCUGCCUGGCUGCAUGCUGUGUGUGUGGUGGGAUUUCAUUUGGAGCUGGGACAGACUGUGGAGGUGAGUGUGUGCAGAGUAGAACUUGCUGCAACUUUCCUGUCACUUUUGGUCUGGCCACACAACUAUGUUCAACCUUAGUCUCUCCAGCCCUCCUUCAGCUUCAGCCCCCCCACUGUGCUCAGUUCACUGGCUUCUAGUUCACUGGCUUCUAGUUCACUGGCUUGUAGUUCGCUGGCACACAGUCGGGAUCAGGAGUGUGAAAUGCAUUUCUCCCCCUAGGCUUAUACAAGAGUCAAUAAGUUUUCCCAUUUUUGUAGGUAAAAUUAGGUACCUCGGCUUAUACACGGGUCGGCUUAUACACGAGUAUAUACGCUUUGAUAUACAGAAACCAAGACCAUUGUACUUUCUAUUUUAGUUCAGUUCUUCAACAAUUCUUCAUUUGUCCAAUUGUUGAUUUUUCCUUCCCGCACUGAUCUCCUUAUCCAAUAUUUAAUUUAAAACAAUGAGAAACAAAAUAAAUGACAACAAAUUAUAAAAGGAAGUCAAAUUAUAUCAUUCAUUGCAUCAGUGGAUACAUCACAUAAAUAUAUAGCAAAUAUUACAUAAAUAUAUAGCAAAUAUUACAGUUGCAAUGAAAGAAUGAUCAAAUAUACACUACAACUACAACAAAAAAAGGAAGAAUGCAAGAUCAUUUCUAAAGGGCUGCACUUUUGACAACAAAUGUCCCAAUCAGCAGAGUAUGAAAGGAAAAACAAAUGUCAACCUAAACUAGAAGACAAUGAAGACAAUAAUGAAAAUGACAAUGAGAAAAGAAAAUUAGAAUGGUGAAAACUAAUAUCUGAGCAGCAGUGAUAAAAUGAGUCCAAGAGGAUGCACAGUCACAAAAGACAAAUAGUGCCGAUAUCUGCCCCAGUAUUAACUGGUAAGUUAGGUAUAUCUGAAACAGAAAAUUCAGAAAAUUCUGGAGCUACCACAGCCUUGAAUCAGGAGCAGAUGUAAUUUUAACACCAGUCUCUCAUUCAAACUGCUUGGUUUGAAUCAACCAGAUUUAUUGGACAGCUGCUGAACAAAAGGAUGACAACACAUUUUAGAGGAAUGGGCCCACAUAAGAGCUUGAUGAGCUUGAUCAAGGUCAAGGCCCACAUGUCAUCAAGAGCAAUGGACCUGGACAAGAAAUCCCUUCUCUACAACCAGGACGAAGUUGAAUCUGGAGAAAAAAAGAGCUCAGACUUGGUGUGGAUUUAGGGACAUAUUUAUUAACAUUGGAGGUAAACAUCACCAGUGGUGUUGCCCAUCGAAACCAAUCAGCAAUUCGAUUUGUAUAUUCUUUAUUUUUCCAUUUUUCCUUUUAUACAACAAUUAAAAUAAAUACACCAAUUUACAUUACAUAAACAAUUUCAAUGUCAUUUCUGCAUUGGCAACUUGUUGGUGUAUGGAAAGAAACGAAUAGAGAGAAGUUGGGUAAAGGAAAGAGAGAGUAGUAGAGGAAGAAUGUAGCCACCCUUAUUGUAUUAUUCAUUUUGGUUGAGCAUCUCACUUGUAUCCCUUCUGUUUGUACAAAUUCUGCAUGUUAUCUGUUAAUCUUGUCAUGUUGUUGUCUCUUGUUCACAGGGGUUCUGGUGUUAAGGUUUUUUUAGAUUCGGUUGUUUCUUUAUAUAUUGUCCACGAUGUCCAUGUAGCUAUAUAUUGUUCCUGCGUUCCAUUUGUAUCGGAAAUCAGUUGUCUCUAUUUCCUCUAUCCAUUCUCCCACUGAAGGAGUUUGUUUAGAUUUCGAAUGCCUGGGUAUAACUGCCCUUGCUGCCUGUAAUACAAAUCCUUUGCCGCAUUUUUUAACGUUGUUUAUAGGACCUGGUAUCAUGGAUAGUAUCAAUGUUUCUGGAGUUUCAGGUAAGUCUAACCCUAGAGCUUGUUUCAGAUUUUUAAUGAUCUGUUCCCAAAAUGGUCUAAUGUGGCAUGCCCACCAAAUAUGGAGUGGAGUACCCACUUCUCUAUGACACCUUCAGCACUGAACAGUGGUCGUAGGAUAGAUUUUCUUUCAUUUGGAUGCGCAAAGAAACCAUCUUGUGAGAAUGUUGCUAUGCUCAUCUUGUGCGUGAGGGUGUAAGCCUUUUGCCAGUCAUUGUCUGUGAAGGAGCAUCCGAUUUCUUUUUCCCAUGUUAUGGUGUAUGCAGGUCUUGUCUUGAACUUUGUCUGUUUUGCUUAGAGGGAGUAAUCCUUUCUUAUUUAAAACCUCAUAUGCUCUAACACACUUCCCCUCUUACCUGUUUAGGAAGUCUAUAGUUGUCAUGCCUGGCAGGAACUGGGGGUUUCCAGUUAUUGGCAUAAGCGGGCCAGCGGGGUUUAUGAUCUCGUCAUAUUGUCUUGUCUGGUCCCAAUGUUUUAGGAUAGUUUGUGUUAUUAUUGGAUAUUUAUCGUAUGGCAGCCCGUUCGACUUGCAUAUCCAUGGGAGUGCUGUUAACAUUUUGGCUAACUUUGCUACAUUGGUGAUAUUGUCAAUCCAGUAUCCUAGCCAUUGUUAUUGCUUGUGAAUAUAUCUGGGAGUCCUAUUCCUUCUUUUGCUUUUGGUCUCACCAAGAUUGAUCUCGAGAUUCUGCUGGACCUUCAUCCUCCCAGGAACUUCGUGAUCAGUUUUGCGUUUCCACAUAGAAUUGCAUUUGGGAUCUGGCAAGCCAAUGCUUGUAUUAUAUACAGAAGCCUGGGGAGUACAUUCAUUUUGAUUACGCUUGAUCUACAGAACCAGGAAAGCUGUACUUUAUCCCAAUCCUCUAGAUCUUUCUUUAUCUGUUGUAUCAUCCUAUUGUGGUUGAGUGCAUACGUUUCUACUGCCCUUCCAGGGACCAGAACUUCCAGGUAUUUAAUAUGUGUCUGCGACCAAACAAAGGGGAAAUUCUUCUUUAGGUCUGCCAGCAUAUUUGGUUUUAAUGUGAUGCCCAUUGCUUCAGAUUUGGUGAUUGUCAGGGGGCCUAUCGGCACCCAGCGGGAAUAGUCUGGACCAAGGAGGAAGCCCAGGGGUCAAAGUCCAAGUUCAUGGUACAAAUAGGGGUCAAGCUGAAUCGUAAUCCAAAUGCAGGCAAAAGGUCCAAAGGCAGGCAGAAUAGAAGCAAAGUCAAAGUACAAGCAGGGUCAAAAGUCCAAUAAGCAAUGUAACAAGAAAUAACAAGCACCCAGGAACUCACCAAACAAUUUCUAUACUUGGGCAUUGAACCGGCGUCCUAGGCAUCCUUUUAUUU